Molecule: long non-coding RNA, 1405 nt
Organism: Bombyx mori (domestic silkworm)
Lineage: Eukaryota; Metazoa; Arthropoda; Insecta; Lepidoptera; Bombycidae
Exons: 3
Source: RefSeq, a predicted model, not a curated record
UUCGGUUUUGUAUAAUAUUGUGUAUUAAUACUGUUAAUUUUUUUAAUAUUAGUUUAAAAAGAGAUUAAGGGUUUUGAAUAUUGUUUUCUUAUUAUAUCACAGAAAUCGCAAUUAAAUAUUUGAUUAUUUAUUCAUUCUAAGAAACAGUCGCUUAAGCUUAGCAACGCGUCGUCACGCCAGCAAUUGGUUUUACUUGCGGCUAUAGAUGAUAGAAGUUUCACAUCAAUAAUAAGGAAGCCGUACCUCCUACGAGGUAUCCGCGCUUAGGGGGCACGCGGGUAUGUGGAACUUGACGGCACACGUUGAGAGCAGCCAGCUGGCUCAAAGAUAUUAGUAUCCUACCGGACUAACCGACUUUCCUUGCACCCUUUCAUCUGAAGCCCGAUCUCCGCCCGGAAUCAGAACUCAGUCAAAAGGGGGGUUUCGCGGUCAACACUACAACCAGACCUGUGGCGCCAUCCCUAGGACGACCGACCGAUGGGUCGUUGAGGUGAUCGUCGACGAUCAACAACGCCGGUCUCCGAAGUACCUAGCCGGUUACGCCGCCAGGGCGAUGCAGUUAGUAUUCCGGGAUACCAGACGUCAGAACCAGCCUGCCGGGUCGUUUAGCCACGACAGCGAAUUGAAAAAAGUCUGUACAACACUUGGUUUAUAAAGUUAUAUUAUACUAGCGACCUGCCCUCGCUUCGCUUCGGAAACUUUAAAUUUUAUUAUUUAUAGGCGAGUCCUGCCAUGUUGCGCGCGGUACGACAAUAACUUCGGGUGACGCCGCGGCGCGAAGCUAGUCUAAAAAAAGUAGCCUAAAUUACUCCUUAUAUCAUCAGCUACCUAUUAGUGAAAGUUUCAUCAAAAUUAGUCCAGCCGUUCCAGAGAUUAGCCGGAACAAAUAGACAGACAGACAGACAAAAAUUGCAAAAAAUGUUAUUUUGGUGUAUGUACCGUAUCUAUAUUCAUAUGCAUGGAGUAAAAAGCGGUUAUUUCAAUAUUACAAACAGACACCCAAUUUUAUUUAUAUGGAUAGAUUACUAGCAGACCCGGCCACACGUUGCUGUGGCUAAGGUUUUGGUCUCUAAAUUACACGUGGCCGGCUAUGCUAAUACCAAAAAUUAACAAAAUAAGAACAAUUGGAUUUCACUGUAUUGCGUUCACUACGAAAUAAAUUUAACUUAUACUUUAGCCUCAGCAACACGUGGUGUUUAUGCCAUCAAAUUGUAGCUUAUGUGAAACGUUGGUAUUUUUAACACAGCGCCAUCUAUGAGAUAUUAAUGUCAGACAGUAUUUAAGGCGCCAUCUGUUUUAGACUUAUGAAACUUACAAUUAAUAACAAUAAUCAACAUAAGAAAUCAUUUUAUUGUUAAUUAAUAAAUAUUGCGAACAUUAACCGAAAUAAAAACCAUCCUAUGGG